Molecule: long non-coding RNA, 221 nt
Filed under: Hordeum vulgare
Lineage: Eukaryota; Viridiplantae; Streptophyta; Magnoliopsida; Poales; Poaceae
Description: long non-coding RNA (HVUL_LNC010970)
Source: RNAcentral
GCGAGGGGAGGACGACGGGGAAGCAGCUGUUGGUGGCUGUUAGUAUUUCCGUCCGUGUCGCCCGUACCUAGUGACGCGGGGGCGCUUCCAUACGGGAUAAGAAAAUGUUAAUGUGACUUCCAACAUUGUCGUGGCGCUCUCGUCCGAAAUUUUUACUUCGUUUCCUUCAUUAAUCAACAAAGUCAGAUCAAUGUUGCUCCUAUAAAAAAAGGACUGCUACG